AGCCAGGCUGUUGCUGGUCCCCACAGACGUCCUUCGAGUCCAUCCGCGGGGGAUCAGCAUGGCUCACCUGAGCGACUACGGGAACUGGAUGGGUCAUUUGCAGUCAAGAGGCAAGAAGCCAGUGGAGCGCAGAGGCAUGGCUGCUGAGUCCGACAAUGAGGACGACUACGAGAAUGUGUCUCUGGAGAACUCUCCCAAGCCCCCGCCCCUGCCACGUGGGAAGAAGGUGAAGGUGGCCGCGCCAAACCGGAAGGACAAAGGAGCAGCAGGUCUGGCAGCGACACCAGGCAGACCCCCCAAAACAGGUGAGAAGCAUUCCAGCUUUUUGCUGGGGAGCAAGUGAGGCCUGGGUACAGAGCAGUGCCC
RNAcentral lists this long non-coding RNA (366 nucleotides) under Gopherus agassizii (Agassiz's desert tortoise). Its description in RNAcentral is "lncRNA (ENSGAGG00000006920.1)". The record is from RNAcentral. Lineage: Eukaryota; Metazoa; Chordata; Testudines; Testudinidae.